Molecule: unclassified non-coding RNA, 48 nt
Filed under: Pseudorhizobium banfieldiae
Lineage: Bacteria; Pseudomonadati; Pseudomonadota; Alphaproteobacteria; Hyphomicrobiales; Rhizobiaceae
Description: Rhizobium sp. NT-26 SraD
Source: RNAcentral
UGUCUCGGCGAAGCCACCGGACGAUGACAGGGAUGACAAGGUCGUGAC